UGAAAAAGGAAAGCAUCAUGUGGGAAGUCAAAGGUUAGUAAAUUCAUCUACUUUGUUCAAUGCUGAUAAUGCACUGCUUGAAUGUUUUGUCCAGUUUUUGAUAUUACAGUUCUAGAAAGGUGUGGACCAAUGCUGGAAAGUUCAAGGAAAAGCAACAGGGAUAAUCAGGGGUCUCGAAUACAGGACCUAUGGGGAGAAAGGUUUUGUGUUGUUACACAACAGAGGAAGUUACAGAGGAAAUCAAGGUGAUAACACAGCUAUCAAAGACAAGUGUGCUGCAAAGAGGGAUCUGCUCUUCAUGUCCAACUAGAAAGGAUAAUACCCAAUUUGCUGCAAGAACUGUUUGGAGUAUAAUUUAGGGAAAAAAUCUGGAGCUAAAAAGUACUUUUUCAAGAGAUUAUCAGAGAGUGCUUUGCUUAAGAGUCCUCACUAUUGGAGGUGUUUAAAAGAAGGCUGGGAAAACACAUGCUACUAGUACAUAUAUGGUUGAUCUUUGGGACAGAAAGGUGGACUAGAUAAUCUCUUGGUGUUCCCUUUUGGAUCUGUUUUUCAGAAAACACCUUGAAUCAUAGAUGGGUGAUGAAAUUCAGUUCCAUUUGUGUAUUUGCUCUGAAAACAGUUAUUUAGGGUGUCAAAACUGAAGUUCUUCGGUCGUGGUCUGACAUUAUUCAGUUAGUCUGACAGUUGCUGAAAUCUCCCUUUGUUGUGUUUUCUGCCAAUGCAAACUCAAUAAUCUAAUUAAUAUUUUGAGGUCAGUUUUCCCAUCUCUGCUCCAGACAAUAGGUGCUAAUGCUGGAAAAGAAAAGGACACCACCAAAAGACCCCAAAGACAGAGCAGCUUAUGGAGAGACUGGAAUGGUGCUAACCUGGAGGGAGUCAGCUGAUGGGAGGUCAGGCUGUGCAGGGAGCCUCUGGAAAGGCACAGAGGUUCAGCUCACCUAUGACUUCAGCAACCCAGACAUUACUCAGUGCUCUGACCGCCUACGUUUUCCUCCUUCAUACAGUUUAUCCAAGAUCCAGGAAGUAAUGAGAAAAAAAGUUAGUAAAACUGGUUUAAUAAACAGUAAGUGUGCCCAUACACUGAUAAUGUCAUUAUUGCCAUUUUGUCCUUGGCAUUGCAUGGGUACACAGCAAGUAUGUAUGAUGGACUGGUACAGCAAUGGACUGAUGAUGGACUUGAUACAGCAAGUAUGAUGGACUAGUGUCCAUCCCUUUCUCUCCAAGCAUAUAAAUGAUAAAUGUGCUUUCCAU
This 1251-nucleotide long non-coding RNA is filed under the name Anser brachyrhynchus (Pink-footed goose). Its description in RNAcentral is "lncRNA (ENSABRG00000003544.1)". The record is from RNAcentral. Lineage: Eukaryota; Metazoa; Chordata; Aves; Anseriformes; Anatidae.